GUGAGACAGGUGCUGCAUGGCUGUCGUCAGCUCGUGUUGUGAAAUGUUGGGUUAAGUCCCGCAACGAGCGCAACCCUUAUCCUUUGUUGCCAGCGGUUCGGCCGGGAACUCAAAGGAGACUGCCAGUGAUAAACUGGAGGAAGGUGGGGAUGACGUCAAGUCAUCAUGGCCCUUACGACCAGGGCUACACACGUGCUACAAUGGCGCAUACAAAGAGAAGCGACCUCGCGAGAGCAAGCGGACCUCAUAAAGUGCGUCGUAGUCCGGAUUGGAGUCUGCAACUCGACUCCAUGAAGUCGGAAUCGCUAGUAAUCGUGGAUCAGAAUGCCACGGUGAAUACGUUCCCGGGCCUUGUACACACCGCCCGUCACACCAUGGGAGUGGGUUGCAAAAGAAGUAGGUAGCUUAACCUUCGGGAGGGCGCUUACCACUUUGUGAUUCAUGACUGGGGUGAAGUCGUAACAAGGUAACCGUAGGGGAACCUGCGGUUGGAUCACCUCCUUACCUUAAAGAAG
This 515-nucleotide ribosomal RNA is filed under the name Escherichia coli. Its description in RNAcentral is "bacterial SSU rRNA". It matches the Rfam family "Bacterial small subunit ribosomal RNA", at positions 1029 to 1533 of the family's 1533-position model. Lineage: Bacteria; Pseudomonadati; Pseudomonadota; Gammaproteobacteria; Enterobacterales; Enterobacteriaceae. The record is from RNAcentral.